RNAcentral lists this ribosomal RNA (140 nucleotides) under uncultured eukaryote. RNAcentral describes it as "partial 18S ribosomal RNA". It matches the Rfam family "Eukaryotic small subunit ribosomal RNA", at positions 1299 to 1458 of the family's 1831-position model. The record is from RNAcentral.
UGGUGGAGUGAUUUGUCUGGUUAAUUCCGUUAACGAACGAGACCACAGCCUACUAAAUAGUGAUGCGUGUGGCGACACACGUAGAUUGCUUCUUAGAGGGACAUUUCGGGUCUACCGGAAGGAAGUUUGUGGCAAUAACA